RNAcentral lists this ribosomal RNA (301 nucleotides) under uncultured bacterium. RNAcentral describes it as "partial 16S ribosomal RNA". It matches the Rfam family "Bacterial small subunit ribosomal RNA", at positions 509 to 807 of the family's 1533-position model. The record is from RNAcentral.
CAGCCGCCGCGGUAAUACGUAGGUGGCAAGCGUUGUCCGGAAUUAUUGGGCGUAAAGGGCUCGCAGGCGGUUUCUUAAGUCUGAUGUGAAAGCCCCCGGCUCAACCGGGGAGGGUCAUUGGAGACUGGGAAACUUGAGUGCAGAAGAGGAGAGUGGAAUUCCACGUGUAGCGGUGAAAUGCGUAGAGAUGUGGAGGAACACCAGUGGCGAAGGCGACUCUCUGGUCUGUAACUGACGUUGAGGAGCGAAAGCGUGGGGAGCGAACAGGAUUAGAUACCCCUGUAGUCCCUGUCUCUUAUAC